RNAcentral lists this ribosomal RNA (253 nucleotides) under uncultured bacterium. RNAcentral's name for it is "partial 16S ribosomal RNA". It matches the Rfam family "Bacterial small subunit ribosomal RNA", at positions 524 to 776 of the family's 1533-position model. The record is from RNAcentral.
UACGUAGGGGGCAAGCGUUGUCCGGAUUUAUUGGGCGUAAAGCGCGUGUAGGCGGCCAUACAGGUCCGUUGUGAAAACUCGAGGCUCAACCUCGAGACGUCGAUGGAAACCGUAUGGCUAGAGUCCGGAAGAGGAGAGCGGAAUUCCUGGUGUAGAGGUGAAAUGCGCAGAUAUCAGGAAGAACACCCGUGGCGAAGGCGGCUCUCUGGGACGGUACUGACGCUGAGACGCGAAAGCGUGGGGAGCGAACAGG